UUUCUACGGCGGGCGGCGGCGUGGACUCCCCCCACGUCAAGUUGCACGCCGGCAUGUAACUUCGUUAUCGACUCUUUUUCCCGUAGUAACAGUACAGAAGUAUCUGCAUUUCGGAGCGCAAUCAUUGCCUGUCCCUGACGGAGUCCUACACGUUUUGCUUUCCUGAAGAUAAGCUGAGCCCAUUCGAAGCCUUCGACCGCAAGAAAAAGACGUUCAGAAAGCGCCGUUCAGCUUUAGCUCUGACGUUUCUGCAUGCCAGUUUUGCGUCAGCAACCGCAUCAUCCACCCUUCAGAGUAGUGCUGGCUCUCCCUCAAGACGUUUUUCCUGUGCUGCAAAGUUGCCUAUAAGCAGCGCAUCGUCGUGGACGCAAGAAAAAAGUCAUAAUUGUCGUUUAUCUGCUUCUAGUAACGUCAUCUCACAAAGCGAAGGUUUUACGUCUAGAAUCGCAUCAUCUUUGGGAUAAAAACUUUGGCGCCGUGAUUCGAGAAGUUCGACAAACUUCGCUUCACAUGACGCCUUAGUUACUGCAAACGCGACUCAAUUGCACGUAUAUAAAGAAAAACUUUUUUGUGAAGCUUUGGGCAUGGACGAAGGAGUCCGUAAAGAGGCUGACGCCCACGACACUGAUGUUUACGAGUUUUUUAGGAAAGGGCUCGAACAGCUCCGGCACGAUCAAGAACCGAAGAACCCUCCCGGUGUGACCAGUGAGCGUGCACAACAAGGCGUUGAGCUCACGUACACCGAGAAGCUUUCAGAUGAGGACGCUGGCGUGCUUCGUCGCAUGUUAAGCACAGGCCCACCCGUGAAGAAGAUUUGUAUAUGGGAAAUGACACUGAACGCGUUCCGGAUCGCAUUUGAUGACUUCCGAAGCUGCUCUUCGCUCGAAGGACUGGAAGUGCUUCACAUUGAAUGCGGGGGAGAAGAUUGCAGCGUAAAACUUUCCGGAUUGUUCAGCGGCCUGCGUUCUUUGGACUUGCGAUGCGACAACAUAGGUACUGAAUUUGCAAAAGAAAUUGCAAGCUAUCUGCGAGAAAACAAGACACUUAUGAAAUUUAGUCUUUGGUACUCCUGCGGCGGCGACGAGGGUGCUGCAGCGCUCGUCGAAGCAUUAUCGGUGAACGAAACGCUGAAGAGCUUUACCUUGGCGCAGAUGAGUUUAUCGUCGGCGAUCUUGAUCCGCUUCGCCGAGGUGCUGGCAUCCAACUCAACACUAGAGGUGGUGGACCUUUUCGAUGUGUGUCCCGCGGAAAAGGACCAAGUGUCGCGUUUGUUGGAGACGGGACGGUACGCGAGCGCCUUCAAGAGGCUUCGAUUCCUGUGGCCCGAGCAGCUCCUUCCGCUACUGACGAGGCUCCUUCGGGAACAAGCGUGCCAUCCCGAGCUGUCCGUCAGCGUCACCUCUUCGGUUGACGACGUCGUUCUUCGGGAAUUCUUCGAUGCCGUGGCCGAGGACACGACUCUCCGCAUGCUCCACUUUUACCCGAGCGAGAAAACAUUCGACGCACUCGCGCGCGGCAUCGCUUCUGUAGUGAAGCGUACGACGACGCUCCGCGAAAUCUGCAACCUCAUGGGCGUGGAACUCGGCAAAGAGCGGCAGCUUGUCAGCAUCCUCGAUUCCUUGAAAGAGAACCGCUCUGUCAGGACGUUCACAAUGUACGCCGAAUUGCUGACUGCGGAAAUAGCGACGUCCCUGUCGGAGUUACUCGCUGUGAACAAUACCUUGAAUGACGUGGCCAUAUGUGAGUAUUGGGGAAUCUUGCCCGACCAGGUAGAAACCAUCCUCCAGGGUUUGAGGAAUAACUACACCUUGACAGGUCUCAUGGUUUCCUGGGACCCUGAUGACUCCGAUGGAAUCCGUGAGAUGGAAGAGCUUUUGAAGAGGAACGUUCGUCUCCAAAAGAAGGCGGCGGAGUUCGUGAUUUCUGGCGGUGGUGACGUCAGCGAUGUGGAAGGCGCGGAUGCUUUCAAGAAGCUGCAUUCAAGCGCUGGCCUUGUGGAGAAGGUGCGGGAGCUUACCGGCAAGACCACAGAGGCAGCGUUAGAAGAAAUACAGUCAGCUUUCGCUCGCUUAUCUGCGUGAAUGCGGCCCUUGUAAAGCAGAGGGCACAUUUGAAUGCAUCAGUGAUAUCGUCGCCUGUCUGCUACUUCUAGCUGGUGCGCUUUUGCGAAGUGGGGGGACAGUUGUCAUGAACUACGUGCGCCGUUUCGUUGAUUGUGUGUACGUGUGGGAAGUAGGCGUCAGUAUGAAUAUUUUGCUGUGUAGGUUACAAAUGGGGUGUUUACGUAUUUUCUAACGUGCGAAGGGAUGAAUAAACGUUCCGAAAACAAGGUGAUUGCUUGUAGUGCGCUGUAUCAAAAAAGUAUUGCAGGGUUCACUUAAUUAAGCACACUGUUGUCACGUCAUCUAAUCGUGCGCGCUCUUAUCUUUCUUUACGUACUAUUCUCUCUCUCGUUUCCAAUAUGUGUCGGAAGUGGUUAAGCCCUGUGUUUGCGUUGUGGGAUAAUAAAGAAGCGGCAGAGCCAUGAACCCCUUAUUUUCAAAUAUCUUCUCUCGUUUCUGCAUAAAAGACCCUACAGGGCUUUUUUCUAACCACUAAACUCAUAUAGCAGCUCGCCCAAUCCUCCCUCUAAAUUCCAGAUCCCCGUGACGGCUUUUCAACGAUAGCUGUUGUGUGCUCUUGACAUCCUAUGAAGAAUUUUUUUUUUCAGUACAUAUAACGAAUUUCGACUAUGCGCGAUGACGAAACAAUACGUAAGGACGAUGCAAUACCUAAAUUGGCGCACACGUUUGCAGAGCUGGCUUAAAUACAUGAAUAUGACCGAGCGCAUGUGUCUUUAUGCAUUACUAGUGAGACAAACGCGAAGAGUACAUUUGCACUCGAGUUGUCCGGAGUUGUUGACACGUAGUGAAAGAAAAAAACGAAAAAGAAAAUAACACUGCUUGUUUAAGCGUGUAACUUCUUCCUGGCGUCGACUUCCGUUUAUUCACGAGCAGAUGAAUCCGUAACUUUUUAGAGUUAUUGAUUAUUCAAGUUCGGUUGGCUGAGUUUACAUUGUCAUGCGCUUGUUGGAUUGUGCCACUUGUGGCCAUGUACUGGAAGCAUCGUCUUCAGAGGUCUCGAUGUAUGGGAACAACGUUCUCUCCGAUAUUUCUUUGUCACACUGGGCCUCGCUUUGCCCAAAAUUGACACAUGUUAAGACUCUGGAACUGUGCCGCCAUCAUCAACACUUCACGAGCACAGUGACAUUUGUCUCCAAAACACGCAUGCCGUCAUCAAGCGCCUAGUCGUCUGCGUGACCGAUUUGAUUCGUCUGUAGGAAGCUGAAUUACCAUUGCGUUGACUGUUGUUUCCUCUUAUAAGCACCCGAAAGGGAUUAUUCAGUUAUGAGCAUGUUAAUUUCGACUUUUCUUUUUUGUUGAAUUAGGUAAAGGUCCUUAAUCUAGACACACCAUGCAGAAUUCUGGCAAGCCAGGAUAGCUCCAUACGAACCAGUUUCCCAGGAGACAUAUGUGACGUGACGUCACGACAGAGGAGGCGGUCACGUAGAACCAGGACAUCGCGAAGUUUGGCACACAAUUCGUCUCGCUCUGAAUGAGUGUAUGACACUGAAGAUGCUCGGUUUUCAAGCAUUGUCAUAAUGUCCAUCACAUGAGCAUAGCCUGUACACACCAUAGCAUAGUUUCCUACGUUAACUGUAGCCUCAAGGCGGUUAGAAAUAAUUCCAAGCAUUAGCAUCAAUGAAGCCUAUCGUCUAGAAAUUCCAAGAGUGCUUAGGAUGCGCAUAAUUAUUUUUUCUGUUAUGAGCGUUCCAUUUUGUUAAGACAGCAAAAGAGCGUAUUCGUGCACUGUUAAGGCCCAUAUUUUAUUUAUGCGCCCUCAUGAAGAUCAUCCGACCUCUUGAAAACAACGUGAUUUGAUGUAGUCAGAAAUGCCGGCCAGCUAUCACAUUUUACUCAGUUAAAAGAAUGCAAUGAACGACUCACGUGCGGUUUCUUUAGCUCACUGCACGUGAGUGCGCCCUUGAACCGCACCUAGUAGCUUGCAAGCAACAUAAGCAAAUUAGGCAAUGAACAUAUUCCUUCGACAAAAUGCGGAUCGAAGUUGCCGAAACAUUCACUCAAGGGAGUUGCAAUGUGAGGUUUAUUUCAUUAACAACGUACUAUCGCGCUCCGUGGGAGUUACAACGGGCGACCACUUUGCCAGGCACUCUCACGUUUAUAGUUCAAACGUAGAAUAAAGAACCGUUCAAUCAGCGCGGUAGUACGUGUGCAUUUCUCUUCGUAGAGCGAAUAAUCGACAACGUCGGCUAUACCAGCGCUGUACUACGUGCAGCGGUGCGCUGAGAAGACACGCCGAACAGGGCGUUGAGUCCAACGGUGAUGCCACUGAAAUUUCGUUUUCUACGCAACUUUAACGACGGGCGGCUGACUGCGCUGCGCGGUCACCUCCCACAUCGAUAUGCACUCCGGCGUUUAACGUUGUUAUCGGCCGUCUUUCAUAGUGCAUGUAACGAACAAUCCGCAUUUUGUUGCAGUUAUCUUAUCUUUUCACGUGUUCCCGGUGGAGCCCCACACUAUUCUCCGUUUACCCGACAACGAGCUCAGUACACUCGCAGACGAGUGCGAGCGAAAACGUGCCGAAGUCGUCUCACCGAACGUCAUUCGUUCUUCGGGUGGACAACGCAGCCAGGGUGGAGAUUUACGAGCCAUCGAGCUUCCUGCGUGGUGGUGACGCUUCCUCCAGACACGAAUCUUCUCCGGCAAAGUCGGUUGGAAAGACCUGAUCCUUGCUGGCGCAAGGAAACUUCAAAUUACCGCUCAUCAGUUUCUGAUAACGGCACCUCACGAAACCGGGUUUUCGCGGAAAAUCGUAUUCAUGUCUAGUUCAGUCUGUCAAUUUUGAACUUUUCACCGCUGCGGUUUGGAAAGUAAGACAACCUUAGCUCGUCUUGCUGUCUUAUUAGCACGAGCACAACACAAUUGACCCUCCGAAAGUAGAAAGAAACACUAUAUUUGCACGUUGUUAAAAUGGCCGACGCAGUCAUUAAUGAGGGCCACACCCAGGAUACUGAUGUCAAGGAGUUUUUGCGGAAAGGACUCCAAAGGCUUAGACCCUUCGACGAAGUGAACCCUACCGGCGUGACCCAUGAGAGCAUGCAACAAGGCGCAGACCUCGAAUACACCGAGAAACUUUCAGACAAGGAUGCUGGCGUGCUCCGGCGGUUGUUGAGCUCAGGAACUUCCGUGAGGAAGCUGUGUAUAUUCGAAAUAUCGCACGGCGCAUUCAAGAUUGCUUUCCACAACCUCGAAGAAUGUCCUUCGCUGCAAGAAGUCCUCUUUCUUCAUGUUGACUGCAAAGGCAAAGACUUAGGCAUACAUCUUUGUGGCGCAUUUAAAAAUCUGCGCUCGUUAGACUUGCGCUGCGACAACACAGGGAGUGGAUUCGCGAAGGAGAUCGCACGCUAUAUCCACGAGAACAAGUCGCUCAGAGAACUCAGCCUCUGGAACUCGUGUGGCGGCGACGAAGGUGCCGCAGCACUCAUCGAAGUGUUAACGAUGAACGAAACUCUCAAGAGGUUCACCUUAGCUGCGAUGGAGUUAUCUUCGGACACCUUGAUCGGCUUCGUCAAGAUGCUAGCAUCCAACUCGACGUUGGAGCUCGUGGACCUUUUCGACGUGUGUCCCGCGGAAAAGGACCAAGUGUCGCGUCUGUUGGAGACGGACCUGUACGCGAGCGCCUUCACGAGGCUUCGCAUCCUGUGGCCCGAGCAACUUCUUCCGCAAGUCACGAGGCUUCUUCGUCAACAAGCGUGCAAUCCAGAGCUGUCCGUCAGCGUCACUUCCUCGGUCGACGAGGUCGUUCUUCGGGAAUUCUUCGAUGCCGUGGCAGCAGACACGACGCUUCGCAUGCUCCACUUUUACCCGAGCGAGGACGUAUUCGAUGCACUCGCAGACGGCAUCGCUUCCGUAGUGAAGCGUACGAAGACACUCCGGGAAAUCUGCAACCUCAUGCGCGUGCAAGAAGGAAAAGAGCGCCAGCUUGUCAACGUCCUGAAUGCAUUGAAAGAAAAUCGUUCCGUUACGAAGUUCACAAUGUACACCGAACUGCUGACGGCCGAAAUAGCGGCGUCGCUGUCCCAGUUACUCGCUGUGAACAAUACAUUGAAUGACGUGGCCAUCUGCGAGUACUGGGGAAUCUUGCCCGACCAGGUAGAAACCAUCCUGCAGGGUUUGAGGAAAAACUACACCUUGACAGGUCUCAUGGUUUCCUGGGACCCUGAUGACUCCGAUGGAAUCAGCGAGAUGGAAGAGCUUUUGAAGAGGAACGUUCGUCUUCAAAAGAAGGCGGCGGAGUUUGUGAUUUCGGGCAGUGGUGACGUCAGUGACGUGGAAGGCGCGGAUGCUUUGAAGAAACUGCACUCAAGCGCUGGCCUUGUAGAGAAGGUGCGGGAGCUUACCGGCAAGACCAGAGAGGCAGCGUUAGAUGAAAUACGGUCAGCUUUAGCUCGCUUAUCUGCGUGAAUGCGGCCCUUGUAAAGCAGAGGGCAUAUUUGAAGGCAUCUGUGAUAUCGUCGCCUGUCUGCUUGUUCUAGGUGAUUCGCUUUUACAAAAUGGGGACAGUGGUGAUGAAAUACGUGUGUGGUUCUGUUGGUCGAGUGGGCCUCAUGCGGAAAGUAUAGGUGUGCACAUGAGUGUUUUACUGUAUAUGUUACAGUAUGCGUGUACUAUUUCCUUGUGCAUGAUUGACCUAACACUGUAUUUUACUUAGUACUCUAUGAUGUGCGAAUGGAUGAAUAAACUAUGCUAAUAAAGGUAAAUGCGUGCAUUGCUCUGCUUCAAA
Molecule: RNA transcript, 6843 nt
Organism: Dermacentor andersoni
Lineage: Eukaryota; Metazoa; Arthropoda; Arachnida; Ixodida; Ixodidae
Source: RefSeq, a predicted model, not a curated record